AGGCAGUGGUCAGGCAGUGGUAAUCAGUGGUCAGGCAGUGGUAGUCGGUGGUCAGGCAGUGGUAAUCAGUGGUCAGGCAGUGGUAGUCAGUGGUCAGGCAGUGGUAGUCAGUGGUCAGGCAGUGGUCAGGCAGUGGUAGUCAGUGGUCAGGCAGUGGUAGUCCGUGGUCCGGCAGUGGUAGUCCGUGGUCCGGCAGUGGUAGUCAGUGGUCAGGCAGUGGUAGUCAGUGGUCAGGCAGUGGUAGUCAGUGGUCAGGCAGUGGUAAUCAGUGGUAAUCAGUGGU
Molecule: long non-coding RNA, 283 nt
Organism: Oncorhynchus tshawytscha (Chinook salmon)
Lineage: Eukaryota; Metazoa; Chordata; Actinopteri; Salmoniformes; Salmonidae
Source: Ensembl